AGUUCAGCAUCUUCGGAUGCAAUCCUGAUGAGGAUUGAGGAGCCGAGGCAGAUCCAUGAGUCAAUGAACCAGGAGGUGCAACAGCAUGAGCCUCAAGUCACAGAUAAACAGAGGUCCCCCAUGGCUGUGAAGCCCAUAGAGGAAGGACAUACAGAGUCUUCACAGGGAUCUGCAGUUUCAGCAUCACUGCCUGUCUCCAGCAGCCAGACUGAACAUGUGUCCUUCAGAAUGUUUACUGCAAAAUGUGCUUUGACCACAAUUUCUCUGCCAAUGGACAAAAAGUUUAGUGACAUCCUUAUGGAGCGGAGGCAGAAGUGGAAGGAGGAGCUACGUAGACAGAAGCGGCAGCAGAGAUCCCCAAAUUCACCACAGGGAACACCUGUAACUGACACUGCAGACGUGGACCAUUCAGUUCCAGUGAAAAAAAUCAAAACCAGUCAUCAGCAGCUGUCGAUUGACGAUUUGUGCAGAAAAUUUGCUGAUUUAUGUUUGUAGAUUGUGUUUGUGUAUUGUGCACAUCUUAAAUAAAUAUAUUCCCAUAAAAAA
This is a non-coding RNA of Danio rerio (zebrafish), 546 nucleotides long. Lineage: Eukaryota; Metazoa; Chordata; Actinopteri; Cypriniformes; Danionidae. The record is from Ensembl.